RNAcentral lists this ribosomal RNA (461 nucleotides) under uncultured bacterium. Its description in RNAcentral is "bacterial SSU rRNA". It matches the Rfam family "Bacterial small subunit ribosomal RNA", at positions 29 to 524 of the family's 1533-position model. The record is from RNAcentral.
AACGAACGCUGGCGGUAUGCUUAACACAUGCAAGUCGAACGAACGAACCUAGCUUGCUAGGUAAGUUAGUGGCAAACGGGUGAGUAACACGUGGGAAUCUACCCAGUAGUACGGAAUAACAGUUGGAAACGACUGCUAAUACCGUAUAGUAUCGAGAGAUUAAAGAUUUAUCGCUACUGGAUGAGCCCGCGUCAGAUUAGGUAGUUGGUGGGGUAAUGGCCUACCAAGCCGAAGAUCUGAGCUGGUCUGAGAGGAUGAUCAGCCACACUGGAACUGAGACACGGUCCAGACUCCUACGGGAGGCAGCAGUGAGGAAUAUUGGACAAUGGGCGAAAGCCUGAUCCAGCAAUACCGCGUGAGUGAAGAAGGCCUUAGGGUUGUAAAGCUCUUUCAGCAGGGAAAAUGAUGAUGGUACCUGCAAAAGAAGUUCCGGCUAACUCCGUGCCAGCCGCCGCAGUAAU